RNAcentral lists this ribosomal RNA (256 nucleotides) under uncultured archaeon. Its description in RNAcentral is "partial 16S ribosomal RNA". It matches the Rfam family "Bacterial small subunit ribosomal RNA", at positions 521 to 776 of the family's 1533-position model. The record is from RNAcentral.
UAAUACGAAGGGGGCUAGCGUUGCUCGGAAUUACUGGGCGUAAAGGGCGCGUAGGCGGACAUUUAAGUCAGGGGUGAAAUCCCAGAGCUCAACUCUGGAACUGCCUUUGAUACUGGAUGUCUUGAGUGUGAGAGAGGUAUGUGGAACUCCGAGUGUAGAGGUGAAAUUCGUAGAUAUUCGGAAGAACACCAGUGGCGAAGGCGACAUACUGGCUCAUUACUGACGCUGAGGCGCGAAAGCGUGGGGAGCAAACAGG